Molecule: long non-coding RNA, 264 nt
Filed under: Brassica napus (rape)
Lineage: Eukaryota; Viridiplantae; Streptophyta; Magnoliopsida; Brassicales; Brassicaceae
Description: long non-coding RNA (BNAP_LNC017523)
Source: RNAcentral
AGGAUAAACUUAAAAAGGUGCUAUUUUGGUCAUUUUAGUUUUUGAGUGCUAUUUUUGUGAUAUAAACUUAGAAAUGUGCUAUUUUGGAGAUUUGCCCUUUUAAAAUUUGCAUGUGGAUUAAUUUCCUCAAAUACCUAAAUUUAAAAUUUCAGAAAAUAAAUUAUAGAAAUAUUUUAAAAUGAAAUAAAAUUAAUGAUAUAUCCUAAUAAACUAAAUAUCAGUAAAAUAGGGAAAUCAGCUAUUGAUUAAGGAAUGCAAUUAUAU